AACGAACGCUGGCGGCAGGCUUAACACAUGCAAGUCGAACGCACCUUUCGGGGUGAGUGGCAGACGGGUGAGUAACGCGUGGGAAUCUACCCUUCUCUACGGGAUAGCUCCGGGAAACUGGAAUUAAUACCGUAUACGUCCUGAGGGAGAAAGAUUUAUCGGGGAAGGAUGAGCCCGCGUUGGAUUAGCUAGUUGGUGGGGUAAAGGCCUACCAAGGCGACGAUCCAUAGCUGGUCUAAGAGGAUGGUCAGCCACAUUGGGACUGAGACACGGCCCAAACUCCUACGGGAGGCAGCAGUGGGGAAUAUUGGACAAUGGGCGCAAGCCUGAUCCAGCCAUGCCGCGUGAGUGAUGAAGGCCCUAGGGUUGUAAAGCUCUUUCAGUGGGGACGAUAAUGACGGUACCCACAGAAGAAGCCCCGGCUAACUUCGUG
RNAcentral lists this ribosomal RNA (433 nucleotides) under uncultured bacterium. RNAcentral's name for it is "partial 16S ribosomal RNA". It matches the Rfam family "Bacterial small subunit ribosomal RNA", at positions 29 to 507 of the family's 1533-position model. The record is from RNAcentral.